CCGCAUAGCACAGCACCUUCAAAGAUGAUAAAACCAACCCAAAGCCCGUGUACCACCCAACUUUCCAUGUUCAUCUCUACAAUAUGCUAUUGUCGUUUUCUCUCCGAAUUGACAAUGAUAAUUACUUUAGCGUCCUCAAUAUGGCCUUUUCCUUCCUAGUAACCCAUAAUUGCAUACAAACGAACAAAUCCUAUGAGCGUACCCAUUGAGACUUCUUGCUUUUGUCCGCAUGCCGAUUGUUA
Molecule: unclassified non-coding RNA, 242 nt
Filed under: Hevea brasiliensis (rubber tree)
Lineage: Eukaryota; Viridiplantae; Streptophyta; Magnoliopsida; Malpighiales; Euphorbiaceae
Source: RNAcentral